UACGGAGGGAGCUAGCGUUGUUCGGAUAUACUGGGCGUAAAGCGCACGUAGGCGGCGCCGUAAGUCAGGGGUGAAAUCCCGGAGCUCAACUCCGGAACUGCCCUUGAAACUGCAGUGCUAGAAUCCUGGAGAGGCGAGUGGAAUUCCGAGUGUAGAGGUGAAAUUCGUAGAUAUUCGGAAGAACACCAGUGGCGAAGGCGACUCACUGGACACAUAUUGACGCUGAGGUGCGAAAGCGUGGGGAGCAAACAGG
Molecule: ribosomal RNA, 253 nt
Filed under: uncultured bacterium
Lineage: Bacteria
Description: partial 16S ribosomal RNA
Rfam family: Bacterial small subunit ribosomal RNA
Source: RNAcentral